This is a long non-coding RNA of Capsicum annuum, 2712 nucleotides long. RefSeq lists it as uncharacterized. The transcript has 2 exons. Lineage: Eukaryota; Viridiplantae; Streptophyta; Magnoliopsida; Solanales; Solanaceae. The record is from RefSeq and is a predicted model, not a curated record.
UAUUAAAUUUGAUUCUAAUUGGAAUCAGAUUGGCCUCAAUUGCAAUGCAAUUGACUAAUUGGUAUUCCAUUUAGCUAGAAUUUAAAUUUAAUUGCCUAAAUUAUAAUCUAAAUCCCUAAGCUACCCAAAAUAACCCAACACCACAUCAAUUUCGGCCCAAUAGCUAAAUACUCACCAGCCCAUUUCUUAUUUUAAAAUCUCCAGCCCAAAGAUUGGCCCAAUAUAAUCUUAAAACGAUCAGCAGCUCCCCCCUAUUUUAAGAUUUGAUACAGCGAUCCGGUCCACCAAGGGUUUCUUUCUUCUUGAAUCAGCAACAACAGUCAAUUCCCCAAGGUACAACAACCAAAUAUUCAACGUACAACCAAAUGACAACAUCGACCAACUUCGAACCCAUCGACGCUGACCCGAAUUCAGUUCGAACCAACCCAGUUUCAACCCAACCCUAUCCUUCUUCACGCGUUCCACGCAAUAGUACGACGAGGAAGACCUUGAAGCUUCUAAAAAUGGUGAGGUGUCUUCCCCCAACGGAUCAAUCCCGUAAAUCUCGGGAUAAGGGUACGAUUCCAUACCCAUUUGGGGGAUUUCGAUUGGUUCCUGAGGGGAAUUGGUUUUGGAAGAAUUCUAUUGGUCCGCCAAUUUCGUCUUUUUCUUGGGAGAUAAAUCCAAAAGGGAGAGUCAGUUAGAAGGGGGUUAGCCAUUUUUUUGAAUUUUGAUUUUUCCAUCCCUAAACUACCCCCGAUUUGGUCUUCUGUAUAAGAACCAGCUGGGUAUUGUUUUCGGAGGUCUCUUUUUUUUCAGAGAAAUUAGGGUUCAGAAAAAUUAGGGGUUGGGAAAAUUUUUUCGAGAGAGCUAGGUUGGAAAAAUUUUGGUUAGAAAAUUUUGAGUGGAAAAGGCAAAGGAUCCUAGAGCUAAAAGCUUUCCUUCAUAGCAAAGUUUUCUCCUUUCUUUUCCUUUUGGAAGUUGGUCGAUCAAUUCGGAAGUUCUCAAGUCGAUAAUAUCAGUUCCCGGUGGUGACGGUCCUAGCGAUUAACUCGUUGUCUUGUUUUGCUGCUCUCGGAAAGUCCAAAUGGGCUCUUUCCCUUCUGCAUUUCACAAAUGGGCCAUUGAGGCCCAUUCCCUUUUAGAAGACCUUGGAAAGGACUAAAAAGACAGUCACAUGGUAUACCGAUGCGAAGAGUCGAAUGAAGAAGGAAAAUGGGUUAAAAUCCCAUUUGAAGCAGCUAAGAGACUUGAAAGUCUCAAUUUCCAUUUCAUUUAUUUAUUUAGUCAUUCAUUAUUGUUGUCUUUGUUUAUUUAGUUAUUUAUUUUUAUUCAUUCAUUUGGGCUACGAAGCCAAGGUUGUAUUUAAUACAGGUGGAGCGAGACUCGAGCUAACGACUCGAAACACUAGACUGGGACGGGUGAAAUGGAUCGAAAGCCCAAUUAGACUAGGACAUGUUUUGUUGGUUUGGGCCGAUGGCCUAAAUCCCUUACUUCCUCCCCUUCCCCCUGUCCUUUAUGUUUGUUUUCCUUAUAUGCUUUGCGAACCUAGUUAAAUCUUUAGUUAAGUCGCUAAAAAACUAGUUUUUGCAUAAACACCAAAAUAUUUUCAAAAUCGCUUUCUUUUCAAAAAAUCAAUCACUUUUCGACAAAAUUAAUCUUUUCGAAGAUGAUUUUCAAACAGUCUGGAUAAUCGCAAGUUAGCGGACGUUUUAGGUGCUUAACACCUUCCUAAAACGUUAAUAGAAAUCGCUUACUCAGAAUCUCUUAACUUAAAACGAUUUUCCUGUUUUGAAUCGUUUUAAGUAGCUCCCUAAAGGUUUCUUAAUUCUUUUUCAAAAUUAAGUGGCGAUUCUCUUUCAAAAGUCAAAAUUUUUGCAAAAGCAACUAUAUAUUUAGUGUGUGUAUAUAUUGUAGUAUAUGUUUUAUUUAAAGUAGUACAUAUAUAUUGAAUGGUACGUAUAUAUAUGUAUAUAUAUUCUACAGAUUCUAAAGUAGUAUAUAUUUAACGUAUAAUACAUGUGUAUAUGUUUUAUAAAUUAGUAUAUAUAUCAUUAUAUUGUAGUAUAUAUCUUGUAACAUGUAUAAUUGUGUAUAUGUGUAUAUGUAUUUUAAAUUUUAAUGUACUAUAUACUAUAUAUAUAGGGUAUAUAUAUUGUUUUAACGAAUUUAAAAUGUUUAUAGGUGGGUAUAUAUACUGUAUAUUGGAGAAAUUUUUUUUUUUUUUUUUUUAAUCGGAUUUUUGGACCGAUUUUGAUCAGGUCUAGGUGGGUUAGAUCGGAGUGGGCUGGUUCAGGAUUAAUUUUUAAAAAAUUACUGUUGGGCUCGAAAUUGAACUGACCCGUUUAACAAGCAUGGAUCCGGAUCGGUCCAUAAACCGGAUAAACUUGAUGGGCCCACUUAACAGCCCAUGCAUUUGUUGUUAGCUAUGGAGAUUGGAGAGUACUCCACGAUGAUCAAUGAGAAGACAAUGAGAAGAUAAAGUUAGAAACUAGUACUAAAAUGAUGGGAAUUUCUGACAGAUGUCUCAUUGGAAAUUGACCCAUUAUUAAGGGGUUUUGGCGAAAAAUCCAUUCGAAACAUUUUCAAAAAGGCAAUUUUUAUAGACAAUUUGCUAUUUUUUUUUUUUUUUUUGAAAGUAUUGAGACGCAAUGAAUUCGUUGAAGACAAAGCUUAAAUAAUUUUAUAUUCUAAAUUCACCACUAGUUCAUAAUAGUCAUUCUUUGAUUUUCA